GGAUUGAUAGCUCAGCUGGUAGAGCAGGUCCCUCUUAAGGACAAGGUCGCGGGUUCGAACCCCGCUCGAUCCACCA
Molecule: transfer RNA, 76 nt
Filed under: Candidatus Gracilibacteria bacterium HOT-871
Lineage: Bacteria; Candidatus Altimarinota
Also listed under: 1 other name
Description: tRNA-Lys
Rfam family: tRNA
About the family: Transfer RNA (tRNA) molecules are approximately 80 nucleotides in length. Their secondary structure includes four short double-helical elements and three loops (D, anti-codon, and T loops).
Source: RNAcentral